AGCAGCCGCGGUAAUUCCAGCUCCAAUAGCGUAUAUUAAAGUUGUUGCAGUUAAAAAGCUCGUAGUUGAAUUUCGAGAUCAAAUUGUUGGUCGUGCCUUGGUACGCACUGGCAUUAUUGGUUUCUCCCUUCUGAAGAACCAAGAUGUCAUUAAUUUGGUGUCUUGGGGAAUCAGGACUGUUACUUUGAAAAAUUAGAGUGUUUAAAGCAGGCUCGCGCUUGAAUACAUUAGCAUGGAAUAAUGAAAUAGGACGUUUGAUUCUAUUUUGUUGGUUUCUAGGAUCGACGUAAUGAUUAAUAGGGAUAGUUGGGGCAUUAGUAUUCAAUUGUCAGAGGUGAAAUUCUUGGAUUUAUUGAAGACUAACUACUGACGAAAGCAUUUGCCAAGGAUGUUUUCAUUAAUCAAGAACGAAAGUUAGGGAUCGAAGACGAUCA
RNAcentral lists this ribosomal RNA (434 nucleotides) under uncultured Glomus. Its description in RNAcentral is "SSU rRNA". It matches the Rfam family "Eukaryotic small subunit ribosomal RNA", at positions 569 to 1010 of the family's 1831-position model. The record is from RNAcentral. Lineage: Eukaryota; Fungi; Glomeromycota; Glomeromycetes; Glomerales; Glomeraceae.